RNAcentral lists this ribosomal RNA (482 nucleotides) under uncultured bacterium. RNAcentral's name for it is "partial 16S ribosomal RNA". It matches the Rfam family "Bacterial small subunit ribosomal RNA", at positions 30 to 507 of the family's 1533-position model. The record is from RNAcentral.
AUUGAACGCUGGCGGCAUGCUUUACACAUGCAAGUCGAACGGUAACAGGCCGCAAGGUGCUGACGAGUGGCGAACGGGUGAGUAAUGCAUCGGAACGUGCCCAGUCGUGGGGGAUAACUACUCGAAAGAGUAGCUAAUACCGCAUACGAUCUAUGGAUGAAAGCGGGGGACCGUAAGGCCUCGCGCGAUUGGAGCGGCCGAUGUCAGAUUAGGUAGUUGGUGGGGUAAAGGCUCACCAAGCCAACGAUCUGUAGCUGGUCUGAGAGGACGACCAGCCACACGGGGACUGAGACACGGCCCAGACUCCUACGGGAGGCAGCAGUGGGGAAUUUUGGACAAUGGGGGCAAGCCUGAUCCAGCAAUGCCGCGUGCAGGAAGAAGGCCUUCGGGUUGUAAACUGCUUUUGUACGGAACGAAACGGCUCUGGUUAAUACCCGGGGCUAAUGACGGUACCGGAAGAAUAAGCACCGGCUAACUACGUG